GGCGGACGGGUGAGUAACACGUGAGAAUUUACCUUUAGAGGGGGAUAACAAUCGGAAACGAAUGCUAAUACCCCAUAUGCUUUCGAGUGAAAUGGAUUUAUAUUUAUCCGCCUAGAGAGAAGCUCGCGGCUGAUUAGCUUGUUGGUAAGGUAAGAGCUUACCAAGGCGACGAUCAGUAUCUGGUUUGAGAGGACGAUCAGACACACUGGAGCUGAGACACGGUCCAG
RNAcentral lists this ribosomal RNA (227 nucleotides) under uncultured bacterium. RNAcentral's name for it is "partial 16S ribosomal RNA". It matches the Rfam family "Bacterial small subunit ribosomal RNA", at positions 97 to 334 of the family's 1533-position model. The record is from RNAcentral.